Molecule: long non-coding RNA, 564 nt
Organism: Cercocebus atys (sooty mangabey)
Lineage: Eukaryota; Metazoa; Chordata; Mammalia; Primates; Cercopithecidae
Exons: 3
Source: RefSeq, a predicted model, not a curated record
GUGAUCCUCCUGCCUCAGCCUCCCAAGUAGCUAGGACUACAGGAACAGUCUACCACACACAGCUGCCUCUCAUGAAUUUGGGAUGGGAAAUCAAAGAGGAGGAGCUGUAACCCAUUCUUGGGUCAGUGCCAAAAGAAGAUAAAGGAACAGCUGCAAGAUACUGCAGAGUGAAGAAUGGUAAUUCAGCAGAAGCCAGAAAUCAAACCCAGAGGUACCAAGAGAAUGGGAAGCCCAGAAAAAUCUCAGGGAGUUUGGGAGAGCAUCGACUUCCUGUAAGACCUGGGAUGAGGUUUCCAGGAUUCAAUGAGAAGACAGUAGUCUGCAAUCCAGAAGAGGACCCUCACCAGAAUGCAACCUUGCCAGCAUGCUGAUCUAGGAUUUCCAGCCUUCCAAACUGUGAGAAAUAAAUUUCUCAUUUGUGUAUAAGCCAUCGAGUCUGUGGUGCUUUGUCAUACCAGCCCCAAAUGACUAAAACAAUAGGUGGUGUGUGUUUUGAUUUUGAUCCUCUCCUUUGAUCAUUCUAUCUUGCUUUAUUUGUUUCUGUUUUCCCCUGUGGUUCCAUAC